Myiozetetes cayanensis is the source of this 1318-nucleotide long non-coding RNA. RefSeq lists it as uncharacterized. Lineage: Eukaryota; Metazoa; Chordata; Aves; Passeriformes; Tyrannidae. The transcript has 2 exons. The record is from RefSeq and is a predicted model, not a curated record.
UAAAAGCUGCAGUGAAUACUCUCUGACUACAGAAAGCUUAGGCUGCAUUGCCCGAAGUUGCAUUAAGCAGAGCCUCAUCAGCAUUCAGCACCACUGCCAUAGCGUUAAGCCUGGAAGAAGUGGGAAAAAUUACCUACUGAAACAUAAGAAGAAAAGAUGAAAAGAGACCAGUGAGAAGAAAGAAAAGCGCCUUAUUUCUGUGCUGAAGCUUCUUUAUCUAAUGGAUCCCCCUCCCAAGCAAUGUUGCGAAUGGCAGGCUAUCAAAGAACUGAGAAAUGCUAUGAGGAAAACCUACUUUUCUUCCAUGAGGAUUCAAGAGCUGGGGAACGGAGAUUCUGUCUUGGGAGAAAUAUGGGGCAAUGGUUGGUUGAAGCACAGUUAAAGUUGACUGGAUUAUGUGGAGUGGUUGGGUGGUGGUGAGAAGGUUUGCAGGUGCAACUGAGAGAGACUGAGGGAACGCAGGAAGGAAGUGGUUUGUUGAGGAAAAUGGGAGCAAGGAAUAAUACAAAUCUUCACAUUAAAUGGGGAAAGAAACAAGAAGUUCUCUAGGCCUUUUCUACUCUAGCCUUUCCCCUGUCCUUUAAGGUAAAUCUUUGUCUUGGUUUCCUAGGUAUAAUGACAACUUUAUGCUCUUGAUGGCAAAGUGAAGAAGGCAGAGUUCCGUUGCUCCUACACAUCUUCAUUCAGUCAAGGACUGACAUUACUUAGAAGGCAAAAGAACAACCUCAUUGGUGCAUCAAAACUACUUUUCAUAUCUGUAAGAAAAGUAGAUUAGAAUCCUUUGAUUUCUCAUUCUGUCAGCAGGCGUAAAAAGCUAGAGGAAUCCACAGGCCAAGUCCUCACUAGGGAAAGUGGUUACCAGUCUCCCCAAAAAUCCAAAGGAAAUACACAAUGUGUUGCAGGAGAAUGAAUUAGAAGAUUUUUCUUAGUUCACUGAUGUCUUUGAAGAGUCGUCUCAGAUCUAGCAGCAGUUAAAAAGCCUUAUUCCAAUGCAAAGAUCAAAGCUUAUUCUGGAGCUUAGUGAACUUUACUUGUGAUUUUCAACUUUCAUUUAAAUAACUGAUGAAAACACCAUAAUUUUUCAAUUUCCAGUUCAUCCUAUCAAAAUCUAAUUUUUUGUUUUGGCUCAGACUGUAGCCACUUACACUUUGAUGAAUGAAAAUGACCAUAGUCAUAAUGCUCUCAAACUUCCAACUGUAAACAUACAGGAAACUUUUCCUUCCCUUUUCCCUUUCAGUAAUAAUCUUUCCCAUCUGUAUCAAAACCAGAGACCUGCUUUUUCAAUAACUGUCAGUAAUAAAAAGUAUUUUCCUUCUGA